This is a non-coding RNA of Schistosoma mattheei, 45 nucleotides long. Lineage: Eukaryota; Metazoa; Platyhelminthes; Trematoda; Strigeidida; Schistosomatidae. The record is from Rfam.
AUUCAACUGAUAAGUCCCAAAUAGGAUGAAAUAAGCAUCUUGGAU